This 259-nucleotide long non-coding RNA is filed under the name Elaeis guineensis (African oil palm). RNAcentral's name for it is "long non-coding RNA (EGUI_LNC014372)". The record is from RNAcentral. Lineage: Eukaryota; Viridiplantae; Streptophyta; Magnoliopsida; Arecales; Arecaceae.
GGCUUUCUUUCUUUAUAAUGUUACUUGAUUGGGUUUUUUCAAGAGGUUCUCACAUCAGCAUAUACAGCAGAAGUCAUAUUCAUAUUCCAUAGGUUCAUUUCAGCUACUGUAGUGGGAGAUCUGUUUCUCCUUUAAUCCAUGCAGGUGGCUCCUUCACCAUAUGUGGGACUUCAUCCCAUAUAAAAGUUCUCCUCGGCGUCUCAUGUUUAUGUAUCAACACAGUUCAAUUUGCAUAUACAUGUGCAUUGGUUCUCAUAUA